RNAcentral lists this ribosomal RNA (206 nucleotides) under uncultured bacterium. RNAcentral's name for it is "partial 16S ribosomal RNA". It matches the Rfam family "Bacterial small subunit ribosomal RNA", at positions 1295 to 1500 of the family's 1533-position model. The record is from RNAcentral.
AGACUGCAGGCUGCAACUCGCCUGCACGAAGUCGGAAUUGCUAGUAAUCGCGGAUCAGAAUGCCGCGGUGAAUACGUUCCCGGGCCUUGUACACACCGCCCGUCACACCAUGGGAGUCGGUAACACCCGAAGUCGGUGGUCUAACCGCAAGGAGGACGCCGCCGAAGGUGGGAUUGAUGACUGGGGUGAAGUCGUAACAAGGUAGC